Molecule: ribosomal RNA, 435 nt
Filed under: uncultured eukaryote
Lineage: Eukaryota
Description: bacterial SSU rRNA
Rfam family: Eukaryotic small subunit ribosomal RNA
Source: RNAcentral
CUCACCAGGUCAGGACACGGUAAGGAUUGACGGACUGAAGGCUUCUUUCUCGAUUCCGUGGAAAGUGGUGCAUGGUCCGUUUUUGGUUGGUGGAUCGAUCCGUCUGGUUAAUUCCGUUAACGAACGAGACCUCGGCACUCCGAAUAGCGCGGCGGACGUCGCGGCCUCCGGGGCCGUCUUCCGCACGAGCUUCUUAGAGGGACCGUCCCCCGCCGGGGAAGGAGGUGCGAGGCAACGACAGGUCUGUGAUGCCCUUAGAUGUUCUGGGCCGCACGCGCAUUACACUGACGCGUCCAACGGGUGACUCCCGACCCGAAGGGGCCGGGGAAUCCGCAAGGCGCGUCGUGAUGGGGAUUGAACGUUGCAAUUGUUGUUCACGAACGAGGAAUUCCUAGUAGGCGCGGGUCAUCAACCCGCGCCGAUUACGUCCCUGCC